CAUCUAGGCAAUAUAGUGGAGUGGUUUAAAGCAUAGUUCUGGACUCAGACUUCCCUAUACAAAUCCAAAAUGCUUUGUUAAAGUUGGAGCACCUUUUGAACAGAGCUGGCUGUGAUCAUAUUUGCUGCUAAGUGGAUUAAUGAGACUGACGUUUACUAGACAAAAGACAGAUGGCUACUCAGUGAGAUAUUUAUACCUGGAUGACUGGUAUCUCUUUUGACUGGACUGGUGUCUGAAGACUGAUUGUUCAAGGCAGUAUUAUACCUGCUGAUAAGUAUUUUGAAUAUCACCUCUGUUCUUUAUCUUUUGACAACAGAGAUAACCUCAUUUAUAUAAAGGAGUAUUGAUUUUUAACUUAACUUUUUGGAAUUUUAACAUUUUGUGCUAAGGAAAGAAUGUGUGUGUGUGUGUGUGUGUGUGUGUGUGUAGUGUGUAAAUCACACAAACAGAUUCAAAAGACAAGUAUAUAGUAGUAUCCAAUGGCUCAUAAGAAUUUGUUGUAGAGUUAGCUGAAACUUACUUUCAGAAUUUGAUUUUAUAUUUUGGGUUGAAAGAGUACUGAUCUGAGAGGCAAAACUCUCAAUUUGAUCAUGGCUGCAUAAUCUUAGGCAUCUCAACAUUGGGCUUUACUUAUCCAUUUGUAAAAUGAGGUGGAUAAGAUAUCUUUAAAGUCAACUCUGGCCAUAAAUUUUUAUGAUUCUUUAGCAUGUGUUCCUUUUAACAAGUCGAAAGUUUCUAGGAUA
This 743-nucleotide long non-coding RNA is filed under the name Sus scrofa (pig). RNAcentral's name for it is "lncRNA (ENSSSCG00070025416.1)". Lineage: Eukaryota; Metazoa; Chordata; Mammalia; Artiodactyla; Suidae. The record is from RNAcentral.